UGCGGGGCCCAGGAGGGCGGAGGGCGGAGAACGGCGGCGGCGCCCGAGCUUGGGCAGGGACUUCUGGAGCGGAGUCCGCGCGAGUCGGUGGCCCGGCGCUCCGCCCUCGCCCGCGGCGGGACCCGGGGCGGCUCGGUCCCCGGAGCAGGUCCUACUGCCCCGGGCGCGGACGCAGGUGUCCAGGGCCCCUGCCAGCGCGGCGGAACGGGUCCCUCGACUCCCGCCGCACCAUCGGCCGUUCCCGCCGCCUCGCUGCCCGUAGGGCCGCGGUAGUGCCCACCUGGACACGGACGGCGGGGUAGACGCUGAGACCCAGGCCUCCAUCCGCUGCUGCCCUGCACGGUCCUCGGUCCAGCCCGACCUCCCGACCUCACGGCUGCCCAGGUGGCCGGGCCCCACUCCACCGCUCUGGGCGACCCGCCUGCUGCGCACCCCAGACAGCGCCGUGGGGUGACCCGGGCGCCCUGCUGGGGGAAUGCCCGACGCCCCUUCCUCUUCGGGACCGCGGUGGGCACGGAUGUCGACCCCCAUUCCCCGCCCAGAGACUCUGGAGUGUUACCACUGUUGGCCGGUGACGAGUCCUUGCUUCCCCCAUGUUGAAGAAUAACACCAGAGAGCACGCCCAGGCCAGGUCAGAGUAGAAAUCAGAAGUUUAUUAAAGGACAGCAGAAAAGACUUCUCCGGAGGAAGAAGGGGACCCAAGAGGUGGAAGUGCGGUUGUCUCCCCUUUUUAUAGUUUUGGUGAUGGAAUGUAGGUGGGAAGGCCCGAGGGGUGGGACACAGGUGGGCCAAACAAGUAAUCUGGGCCUUCCCCUGUGACCCAGACGCUCGCCGUGCCACCUCUGCCUCCAGAUUGCUGCUCCUCUCAGGCUUCUCUUCCUGAUUCAGACUCAUCGUCCAGUCCCCAGCAGGACAAAGAGCCAAGGCAUCCUGUGAAAACAACACUUCACACCGACCACUCUCAGGAUCUCUGCCUGCUACAAGUCUCUGCCGUCGAGUCAACCAAUUGGUAAGUGGCUGCAAAGCUCUACAAAUAGAAUUGUAGUCCUCUGGCCAAAGGUGUUUUUUCUGAUAAUACAUACCUUAUGUAAGUAAAAAAGUAUUAACAUCAAAAUUGUUAGUUUUCUCAAUAAAAUAAAAAGGUAGAAAACA
Long non-coding RNA from Marmota monax (woodchuck), 1152 nucleotides. RefSeq lists it as uncharacterized. NCBI's taxonomy places the organism in Eukaryota, Metazoa, Chordata, Mammalia, Rodentia, Sciuridae. The record is from RefSeq and is a predicted model, not a curated record. The transcript is spliced from 2 exons.